Molecule: unclassified non-coding RNA, 454 nt
Filed under: uncultured fungus
Lineage: Eukaryota; Fungi
Description: partial contains small subunit ribosomal RNA, internal transcribed spacer 1, and 5.8S ribosomal RNA
Rfam family: Eukaryotic small subunit ribosomal RNA (bases 1-73)
Source: RNAcentral
UCAAACUUGGUCAUUUAGAGGAAGUAAAAGUCGUAACAAGGUUUCCGUAGGUGAACCUGCGGAAGGAUCAUCACUGAUUCCAGGGGUGUACGGUGUGCUGCUGCGUACUGCGCGCGCGCGCCGCUCCCCAACCCAAUCCUGUGUGCACCGUUUCACGGUCAAAGAGAGACCACACGCACGUGCGCGUGGGGCCGCAUUGUGUGCGUGUGUGUGUUGGCGGCGAGGAUGGGAUUGAUUAUUCAUUCAUCCAUCCGCUGCCGCCACCAACCGCAUGCACGCGCGCGCACCCUGUGCCACGUGUGUGGUGGUGUUCUCUGUGUAUGUAAUAACUUGUGCAAUCUCCGUCUAACGAUAUACAUGCGUGCGUGCGUAUAUAUAUGCGCGCGCGCCACCUAACACACAUACAACUUUCAACAAUGGAUCUCUUGGCUCUCGCAUCGAUGAAGAACGCAGC